UGGGGAAUUUUGGACAAUGGGGGCAACCCUGAUCCAGCCAUGCCGCGUGAGUGAAGAAGGCCUUCGGGUUGUAAAGCUCUUUCGGACGGAACGAAAUGGUUAUGGUGAAUAUCCAUGACUGAUGACGGUACUGUAAGAAGAAGCACCGGCUAACUACGUGCCAGCAGCCGCGGUAAUACGUAGGGUGCGAGCGUUAAUCGGAAUCACUGGGCGUAAAGGGUGCGUAGGCGGCUUCUUAAGUCUGGUGUGAAAGCCCAGGGCUCAGCUCUGGAAGUGCACUAGAUACUGGGGAGCUUGAGUACCGGAGGGGAGAGUGGAAUUCCUGGUGUAGCGGUGAAAUGCGUAGAUAUCAGGAGGAAUACCGGUGGCGAAAGCGACUCUCUGGACGGUUACUGACGCUGAGGCACGAAAGCGUGGGGAGCAAACAGGAUUAGAUACCCCUGUAGUCCCUGAGCGGGCUGGCAAGGCGCAU
Molecule: ribosomal RNA, 472 nt
Filed under: uncultured bacterium
Lineage: Bacteria
Description: bacterial SSU rRNA
Rfam family: Bacterial small subunit ribosomal RNA
Source: RNAcentral